Molecule: ribosomal RNA, 255 nt
Filed under: uncultured bacterium
Lineage: Bacteria
Description: partial 16S ribosomal RNA
Rfam family: Bacterial small subunit ribosomal RNA
Source: RNAcentral
UACGUAGGGUGCAAGCGUUGUCCGGAAUUAUUGGGCGUAAAGAGCUCGUAGGCGGUGUGUCACGUCGGCCGUGAAAACCUGGGGCUUAACUCUGGGCGUGCGGUCGAUACGGGCAUCACUAGAGUUCGGCAGGGGAGACUGGAAUUCCUGGUGUAGCGGUGAAAUGCGCAGAUAUCAGGAGGAACACCGGUGGCGAAGGCGGGGUCUCUGGGCCGAUACUGACGCUGAGGAGCGAAAGCAUGGGUAGCGAACAGG